GACGAACGUUGGCGGCGUGCUUAGCACAUGCAAGUCGAACGGAAAGGCCCUGCUUUUGUGGGGUGCUCGAGUGGCGAACGGGUGAGUAACACGUGAGUAACCUGCCCUUGACUUUGGGAUAACUUCAGGAAACUGGGGCUAAUACCGGAUAGGAGCUCCUGCUGCAUGGUGGGGGUUGGAAAGUUUCGGCGGUUGGGGAUGGACUCGCGGCUUAUCAGCUUGUUGGUGGGGUAGUGGCUUACCAAGGCUUUGACGGGUAGCCGGCCUGAGAGGGUGACCGGCCACAUUGGGACUGAGAUACGGCCCAGACUCCUACGGGAGGCAGCAGUGGGGAAUAUUGCACAAUGGGCGGAAGCCUGAUGCAGCAACGCCGCGUGCGGGAUGACGGCCUUCGGGUUGUAAACCGCUUUCGCCUGUGACGAAGCGUGAGUGACGGUAAUGGGUAAAGAAGCACCGGCUAACUACGUGCCAGCAGCCGCGGUGAUACGUAGGGUGCGAGCGUUGUCCGGAUUUAUUGGGCGUAAAGGGCUCGUAGGUGGUUGAUCGCGUCGGAAGUGUAAUCUUGGGGCUUAACCCUGAGCGUGCUUUCGAUACGGGUUGACUUGAGGAAGGUAGGGGAGAAUGGAAUUCCUGGUGGAGCGGUGGAAUGCGCAGAUAUCAGGAGGAACACCAGUGGCGAAGGCGGUUCUCUGGGCCUUUCCUGACGCUGAGGAGCGAAAGCGUGGGGAGCGAACAGGCUUAGAUACCCUGGUAGUCCACGCUGUAAACGGUGGGUACUAGGUGUGGGGUCCAUUCCACGGGUUCCGUGCCGUAGCUAACGCUUUAAGUACCCCGCCUGGGGAGUACGGCCGCAAGGCUAAAACUCAAAGGAAUUGACGGGGCCCCGCACAAGCGGCGGAGCAUGCGGAUUAAUUCGAUGCAACGCGUAGAACCUUACCUGGGUUUGACAUGGAUCGGGAGUGCUCAGAGAUGGGUGUGCCUCUUUUGGGGUCGGUUCACAGGUGGUGCAUGGCUGUCGUCAGCUCGUGUCGUGAGAUGUUGGGUUAAGUCCCGCAACGAGCGCAACCCUUGUUCACUGUUGCCAGCACGUUAUGGUGGGGACUCAGUGGAGACCGCCGGGGUCAACUCGGAGGAAGGUGGGGAUGACGUCAAGUCAUCAUGCCCCUUAUGUCCAGGGCUUCACGCAUGCUACAAUGGCUGGUACAGAGAGUGGCGAGCCUGUGAGGGUGAGCGAAUCUCGGAAAGCCGGUCUCAGUUCGGAUUGGGGUCUGCAACUCGACCUCAUGAAGUCGGAGUCGCUAGUAAUCGCAGAUCAGCAACGCUGCGGUGAAUACGUUCCCGGG
RNAcentral lists this ribosomal RNA (1343 nucleotides) under uncultured bacterium. RNAcentral's name for it is "16S ribosomal RNA". It matches the Rfam family "Bacterial small subunit ribosomal RNA", at positions 28 to 1378 of the family's 1533-position model. The record is from RNAcentral.